GUAGGUGGCAAGCGUUGUCCGGAAUUAUUGGGCGUAAAGCGCGCGCAGGCGGGGUCCUUUAAGUCUGAUGUGAAAGCCCACGGGCUCAACCGUGGAGGGUCAUUGGAAACUGGGGGACUUGAGUACAGAAGAGGAAAGCGGAAUUCCAAGUGUAGCGGUGAAAUGCGUAGAGAUUUGGAGGAACACCAGUGGCGAAGGCGGCUUUCUGGUCUGUAACUGACGCUGAGGCGCGAAAGCGUGGGGAGCAAACAGGAUUAGAUACCCUGGUAGUCCACGCCGUAAACGAUGAGUGCUAAGUGUUAGGGGGUUUCCGCCCCUUAGUGCUGCAGCCAACGCAUUAUGCACUCCGCCUGGGGAGUACGGCCGCAAGGCUG
This 374-nucleotide ribosomal RNA is filed under the name uncultured organism. Its description in RNAcentral is "partial 16S ribosomal RNA". It matches the Rfam family "Bacterial small subunit ribosomal RNA", at positions 527 to 896 of the family's 1533-position model. The record is from RNAcentral.